GCUAGUGGCUGUGUCCAUGUCUUGUCCUGCUUCCAUGGAAACACAAGUCAGAGCAGCAAAUGCAAGGUCUCAGAUGAAUUCCUGAAUGUUUUGAAGCAGAGAAAAUAGAAAAGAGAACUCUUUGUCUGUGGAUUCCUCCUGGGCUUCUUCUUUCUUUUUUAACUGAAACAGCUGUUACUACCAUUCUGGAACUCUGAAAAUGUAGUUCUGGCUGGCCCAAUAGGUUAUAAAGAAACUUCAUUUCAUAAAAAAGACAAAACCUCUUUUUUUUCUACUUGAUACACCUCUUGUUCCUCAUCAGCAGUUUUAUUUAAUCUGGUCAUUAAAAUUACUGAGAACCGCCA
Molecule: long non-coding RNA, 344 nt
Organism: Pipra filicauda (Wire-tailed manakin)
Lineage: Eukaryota; Metazoa; Chordata; Aves; Passeriformes; Pipridae
Exons: 2
Source: RefSeq, a predicted model, not a curated record